GUGUUUCGCUCUCGUUGGUGACCAGCGGAGGGAUCAUUACCGAGUUUACAACUCCCAAACCCCUGUGAACAUACCUUAAUGUUGCCUCGGCGGAUCAGCCCGCGCCCCGUAAAACGGGACGGCCCGCCAGAGGACCCAAACUCUAAUGUUUCUUAUUGUAACUUCUGAGUAAAACAAACAAAUAAAUCAAAACUUUCAACAACGGAUCUCUUGGUUCUGGCAUCGAUGAAGAACGCAGCAAAAUGCGAUAAGUAAUGUGAAUUGCAGAAUUCAGUGAAUCAUCGAAUCUUUGAACGCACAUUGCGCCCGCUGGUAUUCCGGCGGGCAUGCCUGUUCGAGCGUCAUUUCAACCCUCAAGCCCCCGGGUUUGGUGUUGGGGAUCGGCUCUGCCUUCUGGCGGUGCCGCCCCCGAAAUACAUUGGCGGUCUCGCUGCAGCCUCCAUUGCGUAGUAGCUAACACCUCGCAACUGGAACGCGGCGCGGCCAUGCCGUAAAACCCCAACUUCUGAAUGUUGACCUCGGAUCAGGUAGGAAUACCCGCUGAACUUAAGCAUAUCAAAGCGGGGAAGGAA
RNAcentral lists this ribosomal RNA (572 nucleotides) under Fusarium avenaceum. RNAcentral's name for it is "eukaryotic LSU rRNA". The stretch from base 191 to 344 matches the Rfam family "5.8S ribosomal RNA". The record is from RNAcentral. Lineage: Eukaryota; Fungi; Ascomycota; Sordariomycetes; Hypocreales; Nectriaceae.